GACGAACGCUGGCGGCGUGCCUAAUACAUGCAAGUUGAGCGCUGAAGGUUGGUACUUGUACCAACUGGGUGAGCAGCGAACGGGUGAGUAACGCGUGGGGAAUCUGCCUUUGAGCGGGGGACAACAUUUGGAAACGAAUGCUAAUACCGCAUAAAAACUUUAAACACAAGUUUUAAGUUUGAAAGAUGCAAUUGCAUCACUCAAAGAUGAUCCCGCGUUGUAUUAGCUAGUUGGUGAGGUAAAGGCUCACCAAGGCGAUGAUACAUAGCCGACCUGAGAGGGUGAACGGCCACAUUGGGACUGAGACACGGCCCAAACUCCUACGGGAGGCAGCAGUAGGGAAUCUUCGGCAAUGGACGAAAGUCUGACCGAGCAACGCCGCGUGAGUGAAGAAGGUUUUCGGAUCGUAAAACUCUGUUGGUAGAGAAGAAAGUUGGUGAGAGUGGAAAGCUCAUCAAGUGACGGUAACUACCCAGAAAGGGACGGCUAACUACGUG
This 497-nucleotide ribosomal RNA is filed under the name uncultured bacterium. RNAcentral describes it as "partial 16S ribosomal RNA". It matches the Rfam family "Bacterial small subunit ribosomal RNA", at positions 28 to 507 of the family's 1533-position model. The record is from RNAcentral.